RNAcentral lists this ribosomal RNA (463 nucleotides) under uncultured bacterium. Its description in RNAcentral is "partial 16S ribosomal RNA". It matches the Rfam family "Bacterial small subunit ribosomal RNA", at positions 28 to 507 of the family's 1533-position model. The record is from RNAcentral.
GACGAACGCUGGCGGCGUGCUUAACACAUGCAAGUCGAACGGUGAACCUCUUCGGAGGGGAUCAGUGGCGAACGGGUGAGUAACACGUGGGCAACCUGCCCCCGGCUCUGGGAUAACUCCAAGAAAUUGGGGCUAAUACCGGAUGUUCACCGCUUCCCGCAUGGGUGGUGGUGGAAAGGGUUUCCGGCUGGGGAUGGGCCCGCGGCCUAUCAGCUUGUUGGUGGGGUAGUGGCCUACCAAGGCGACGACGGGUAGCCGGCCUGAGAGGGUGACCGGCCACACUGGGACUGAGACACGGCCCAGACUCCUACGGGAGGCAGCAGUGGGGAAUAUUGCGCAAUGGGCGGAAGCCUGACGCAGCGACGCCGCGUGGGGGAUGACGGCCUUCAGGUUGUAAACCUCUUUCAGCAGGGACGAAGCGCAAGUGACGGUACCUGCAGAAGAAGCACCGGCCAACUACGUG